GUUAAUACAAUAGGGAGAUAGAAGGUCAAGAGGUUGUCCUAGACUGCUAGGUACAAUCAUUAUAGAUAACCCAAUACACUACUACCUACUUUAGUCCUUCUAACUACCCUAACAUAGAUAGACUUAGUAAUUAUUCUACCAUUAAGAUACACACAACUCACACACACUAACCAAUAAUUCUAACACUCCCCCUCAAGCUGGAGCAUACAAAUUGUAUGAACCAAGCUUGAAAUAGAUAAACUCGAUUUUGAACUACAUGAAUUUUUCUUCAAGAGUGUGAGGCAGUGUGUUAUCACAUGUCAACGAAAAACUACCAACAACUUGUGAAACUUCAACUUCAAAAGUGGAUGACAAAGAGCAGUGGUGGACAAUGAAAAUCUGCAAGGACGAAAUCCCUCAUCAACUAAGGAUGGGGCCUACAGUGGCUAAAUGCGACAAAACUACAGGGACUGUCAUCUCUGAGACUGAUGGGUGAUGGGGCCUGUAGUGGCUGAAAGCUACAAAUCUAUAGGGACUACCAUACUUAUGUGGCUUGAACUGCCGUACUUGACUUGCAGUGUGCCAUCUCUGAGAUUGAUGGGGGAUGGGGCCUAUAGUGGCUGAAAGCUACAAAUCUACAAGGACUACCAUACUUGACUUGCAGUGUCUUGGAAACAAACAUUAAUGUGGCUUGAACUGCCAUACUUGACUUACAGUGUCUUGGAAACAUACUCCCCCUCACUGUGAACGUUGGAAACAGUGAAAUUGUGGACUGGCAUUGGAAGCAUCACAAUUUCUUUGGAUAAACACACAUAAAUGAAGUCGACAGAAGAAAUUGACGUCUGAUGGGGAGCUUGCUGUUUUUUUUUUUAUUUCAUCCUCUGUAAGACUUCUCUCAUCCCAUCUUCACUUUCAUUCACCAAGAGAUCAUGAGUCUUCAAUUCCAUAAUCUCCAUUCCUUUAAGCCUCACGUGGAGCAUUUAGAGAAACAUUUACCUACCAAUUUCCUUCAUCACCCUGCAUUCUCAAAUAACAACUAACUAGAAAAAUACCCAAAAUCCAAAAAUACAAAUUUGUUAUCACAGUGGGUUGCUUCCUUCACAGCACCAAGCCUAGGUGCAAGGCUCACCAUCACCCUUGAAAU
RNAcentral lists this long non-coding RNA (1123 nucleotides) under Vigna radiata. Its description in RNAcentral is "long non-coding RNA (VRAD_LNC017532)". Lineage: Eukaryota; Viridiplantae; Streptophyta; Magnoliopsida; Fabales; Fabaceae. The record is from RNAcentral.